Molecule: ribosomal RNA, 2900 nt
Filed under: Klebsiella pneumoniae
Lineage: Bacteria; Pseudomonadati; Pseudomonadota; Gammaproteobacteria; Enterobacterales; Enterobacteriaceae
Description: bacterial LSU rRNA
Rfam family: Bacterial large subunit ribosomal RNA
Source: RNAcentral
UUAAGCGACUAAGCGUACACGGUGGAUGCCCUGGCAGUCAGAGGCGAUGAAGGACGUGCUAAUCUGCGAAAAGCGUCGGUAAGGUGAUAUGAACCGUUAUAACCGGCGAUGUCCGAAUGGGGAAACCCAGUGCAAUUCGUUGCACUAUCGUUAACUGAAUACAUAGGUUAACGAGGCGAACCGGGGGAACUGAAACAUCUAAGUACCCCGAGGAAAAGAAAUCAACCGAGAUUCCCCCAGUAGCGGCGAGCGAACGGGGAGCAGCCCAGAGUCUGAAUCAGCUUGUGUGUUAGUGGAACGGUCUGGAAAGUCCGACGGUACAGGGUGAUAGUCCCGUACACCAAAAUGCACAGGCUGUGAACUCGAAGAGUAGGGCGGGACACGUGGUAUCCUGUCUGAAUAUGGGGGGACCAUCCUCCAAGGCUAAAUACUCCUGACUGACCGAUAGUGAACCAGUACCGUGAGGGAAAGGCGAAAAGAACCCCGGCGAGGGGAGUGAAAAAGAACCUGAAACCGUGUACGUACAAGCAGUGGGAGCACCUUCGGGUGUGACUGCGUACCUUUUGUAUAAUGGGUCAGCGACUUAUAUUCUGUAGCAAGGUUAACCGUAUAGGGGAGCCGCAGGGAAACCGAGUCUUAACUGGGCGUUAAGUUGCAGGGUAUAGACCCGAAACCCGGUGAUCUAGCCAUGGGCAGGUUGAAGGUUGGGUAACACUAACUGGAGGACCGAACCGACUAAUGUUGAAAAAUUAGCGGAUGACUUGUGGCUGGGGGUGAAAGGCCAAUCAAACCGGGAGAUAGCUGGUUCUCCCCGAAAGCUAUUUAGGUAGCGCCUCGUGAACUCAUCUUCGGGGGUAGAGCACUGUUUCGGCUAGGGGGUCAUCCCGACUUACCAACCCGAUGCAAACUACGAAUACCGAAGAAUGUUAUCACGGGAGACACACGGCGGGUGCUAACGUCCGUCGUGAAGAGGGAAACAACCCAGACCGCCAGCUAAGGUCCCAAAGUCAUGGUUAAGUGGGAAACGAUGUGGGAAGGCACAGACAGCCAGGAUGUUGGCUUAGAAGCAGCCAUCAUUUAAAGAAAGCGUAAUAGCUCACUGGUCGAGUCGGCCUGCGCGGAAGAUGUAACGGGGCUAAACCAUGCACCGAAGCUGCGGCAGCGACACUAUGUGUUGUUGGGUAGGGGAGCGUUCUGUAAGCCUGCGAAGGUGUGCUGUGAGGCAUGCUGGAGGUAUCAGAAGUGCGAAUGCUGACAUAAGUAACGAUAAAGCGGGUGAAAAGCCCGCUCGCCGGAAGACCAAGGGUUCCUGUCCAACGUUAAUCGGGGCAGGGUGAGUCGACCCCUAAGGCGAGGCCGAAAGGCGUAGUCGAUGGGAAACAGGUUAAUAUUCCUGUACUUGGUGUUACUGCGAAGGGGGGACGGAGAAGGCUAUGUUAGCCGGGCGACGGUUGUCCCGGUUUAAGCAUGUAGGCUGAUUGUCCAGGCAAAUCCGGAUAAUCAAGGCUGAGGUGUGAUGACGAGGCACUACGGUGCUGAAGUAACAAAUGCCCUGCUUCCAGGAAAAGCCUCUAAGCAUCAGGUAACAUUAAAUCGUACCCCAAACCGACACAGGUGGUCAGGUAGAGAAUACCAAGGCGCUUGAGAGAACUCGGGUGAAGGAACUAGGCAAAAUGGUGCCGUAACUUCGGGAGAAGGCACGCUGGUGUGUAGGUGAAGCCCCUGCGGGUGGAGCUGAGACCAGUCGAAGAUACCAGCUGGCUGCAACUGUUUAUUAAAAACACAGCACUGUGCAAACACGAAAGUGGACGUAUACGGUGUGACGCCUGCCCGGUGCCGGAAGGUUAAUUGAUGGGGUUAUCCGUAAGGAGAAGCUCUUGAUCGAAGCCCCGGUAAACGGCGGCCGUAACUAUAACGGUCCUAAGGUAGCGAAAUUCCUUGUCGGGUAAGUUCCGACCUGCACGAAUGGCGUAAUGAUGGCCAGGCUGUCUCCACCCGAGACUCAGUGAAAUUGAACUCGCUGUGAAGAUGCAGUGUACCCGCGGCAAGACGGAAAGACCCCGUGAACCUUUACUAUAGCUUGACACUGAACAUUGAGCCUUGAUGUGUAGGAUAGGUGGGAGGCUUUGAAGCGUGGACGCCAGUCUGCGUGGAGCCAACCUUGAAAUACCACCCUUUAAUGUUUGAUGUUCUAACGUUGGCCCCUUACCGGGGUUGCGGACAGUGUCUGGUGGGUAGUUUGACUGGGGCGGUCUCCUCCCAAAGCGUAACGGAGGAGCACGAAGGUUAGCUAAUCCUGGUCGGACAUCAGGAGGUUAGUGCAAUGGCAUAAGCUAGCUUGACUGCGAGCGUGACGGCGCGAGCAGGUGCGAAAGCAGGUCAUAGUGAUCCGGUGGUUCUGAAUGGAAGGGCCAUCGCUCAACGGAUAAAAGGUACUCCGGGGAUAACAGGCUGAUACCGCCCAAGAGUUCAUAUCGACGGCGGUGUUUGGCACCUCGAUGUCGGCUCAUCACAUCCUGGGGCUGAAGUAGGUCCCAAGGGUAUGGCUGUUCGCCAUUUAAAGUGGUACGCGAGCUGGGUUUAGAACGUCGUGAGACAGUUCGGUCCCUAUCUGCCGUGGGCGCUGGAGAAUUGAGGGGGGCUGCUCCUAGUACGAGAGGACCGGAGUGGACGCAUCACUGGUGUUCGGGUUGUCAUGCCAAUGGCACUGCCCGGUAGCUAAAUGCGGAAGAGAUAAGUGCUGAAAGCAUCUAAGCACGAAACUUGCCCCGAGAUGAGUUCUCCCUGAGACUUUAAGUCUCCUGAAGGAACGUUAAAGACGAUGACGUUGAUAGGCCGGGUGUGUAAGCGCAGCGAUGCGUUGAGCUAACCGGUACUAAUGAACCGUGAGGCUUAACCUU